CGCCUUGCCAGCCCGCUACAGAAACUCAAAGGAAUUGACGGGGGCCCGCACAAGCGGUGGAGCAUGUGGUUUAAUUCGAUGAUACGCGAGGAACCUUACCUGGGCUCAAACGUAUGUUGACGUAUUCUGAAAGGGAUACUUCUUCGGACAAUAUACAAGGUGCUGCAUGGUUGUCGUCAGCUCGUGCCGUGAGGUGUCGGGUUAAGUCCCAUAACGAGCGCAACCCCUAUCAUUAGUUGCCAUCAGGUCAAGCUGGGGACUCUAAUGAAACUGCCUACGCAAGUAGUGAGGAAGGCGGGGAUGACGUCAAAUCAGCACGGCCCUUACGUCCAGGGCUACACACGUGCUACAAUGGCCGGUACAAAGGGCAGCUACCUGGUGACAGGAUGCUAAUCUCAAAAGCCGGUCUCAGUUCGGAUCGGAGUCUGCAACCCGACUCCGUGAAGCUGGAUUCGCUAGUAAUCGCGCAUCAGCCACGGCGCGGUGAAUACGUUCCCGGGCCUU
Molecule: ribosomal RNA, 504 nt
Filed under: uncultured Sphingobacteriales bacterium
Lineage: Bacteria; Pseudomonadati; Bacteroidota; Sphingobacteriia; Sphingobacteriales
Description: bacterial SSU rRNA
Rfam family: Bacterial small subunit ribosomal RNA
Source: RNAcentral